This 73-nucleotide transfer RNA is filed under the name Acidimicrobiia bacterium. RNAcentral describes it as "tRNA-Ala". It matches the Rfam family "tRNA". From Rfam's summary of the family: Transfer RNA (tRNA) molecules are approximately 80 nucleotides in length. Their secondary structure includes four short double-helical elements and three loops (D, anti-codon, and T loops). Further hydrogen bonds mediate the characteristic L-shaped molecular structure. tRNAs have two regions of fundamental functional importance: the anti-codon, which is responsible for specific mRNA codon recognition, and the 3' end, to which the tRNAs corresponding amino acid is attached (by aminoacyl-tRNA synthetases). tRNAs cope with the degeneracy of the genetic code in two manners: having more than one tRNA (with a specific anti-codon) for a particular amino acid; and 'wobble' base-pairing, i.e. permitting non-standard base-pairing at the 3rd anti-codon position. The record is from RNAcentral. Lineage: Bacteria; Bacillati; Actinomycetota; Acidimicrobiia.
GGGGCUGUAGCUCAGUCGGCAGAGCGCUUGCAUGGCAUGCAAGAGGUCGGGGGUUCAAUUCCCCCCAGCUCCA